This 322-nucleotide long non-coding RNA is filed under the name Gossypium raimondii (Peruvian cotton). Its description in RNAcentral is "long non-coding RNA (GRAI_LNC009221)". The record is from RNAcentral. Lineage: Eukaryota; Viridiplantae; Streptophyta; Magnoliopsida; Malvales; Malvaceae.
CCGAGCAAAGCAUUCUAUCACCACUUACCAAUGCACAAAAGCACCGAAAAGCUGAAAUACUGAGAUUGAAUAAUUAAAUCAACAGAAAAACGCAGAGAAAAGGGAAAAACAACUCAAAAUUUUUGAGACGGAGAGAGAAAACUAAAAUUUUUGAAACAAAAUAAAAAUAGAUAACCCCAAUAUCCCAACUCCCCACUUUCAUCUCAACCACAACUAUCCACUCACCCAGACUCCCAAUCCCAUCCAAACUCUCUCAGCCAACCGAGGUAAAAAUUACUACCCACGCUCACGCAAGGAUUCAAACACAAGACCUCCAACACAC